RNAcentral lists this ribosomal RNA (249 nucleotides) under uncultured bacterium. RNAcentral's name for it is "partial 16S ribosomal RNA". It matches the Rfam family "Bacterial small subunit ribosomal RNA", at positions 1252 to 1500 of the family's 1533-position model. The record is from RNAcentral.
AGAUCGAGAGAUGGAGCAAAUCCCAAAAAUAACGUCCCAGUUCGGACUGUAGUCUGCAACCCGACUACACGAAGCUGGAAUCGCUAGUAAUCGCGGAUCAGAAUGCCGCGGUGAAUACGUUCCCGGGUCUUGUACACACCGCCCGUCACACCAUGGGAGUCAGUAACGCCCGAAGUCAGUGACCUAACCGAAAGGGAGGAGCUGCCGAAGGCGGGACGGAUGACUGGGGUGAAGUCGUAACAAGGUAUC